This 66-nucleotide transfer RNA is filed under the name Metaphire guillelmi. Its description in RNAcentral is "tRNA-Thr". The record is from RNAcentral. Lineage: Eukaryota; Metazoa; Annelida; Clitellata; Crassiclitellata; Megascolecidae.
GAGAAUUGAAAGCUAAUACAUAAGCAGCGACCUUGUAAGUCGAAGAUAGAGACACCUCUCAAUUCU